GAUGAACGCUGGCGGCGUGCCUAAUACAUGCAAGUCGAGCGAACAGACGAGGAGCUUGCUCCUCUGACGUUAGCGGCGGACGGGUGAGUAACACGUGGAUAACCUACCUAUAAGACUGGGAUAACUUCGGGAAACCGGAGCUAAUACCGGAUAAUAUAUUGAACCGCAUGGUUCAAUAGUGAAAGACGGUUUUGCUGUCACUUAUAGAUGGAUCCGCGCCGCAUUAGCUAGUUGGUAAGGUAACGGCUUACCAAGGCGACGAUGCGUAGCCGACCUGAGAGGGUGAUCGGCCACACUGGAACUGAGACACGGUCCAGACUCCUACGGGAGGCAGCAGUAGGGAAUCUGCCGCAGUGGGCGAAAGCCUGACGGAGCAACGCCGCGUGAGUGAUGAAGGUCUUCGGAUCGUAAAACUCUGUUAUUAGGGAAGAACAAAUGUGUAAGUAACUAUGCACGUCUUGACGGUACCUAAUCAGAAAGCAACGGCUAACUACGUG
Molecule: ribosomal RNA, 497 nt
Filed under: uncultured bacterium
Lineage: Bacteria
Description: partial 16S ribosomal RNA
Rfam family: Bacterial small subunit ribosomal RNA
Source: RNAcentral